GGGUCAGAUCUUACAGCUUGAGGGCUCUUUCACCAAGACUGUGCUCCACUUCUUAUGCCAAUCACAAACCCAGGCUGCUUCACUUGUGCUUUUGACCAAACAGGUAUAAAUGAAAGAUCUCACAAUCCCUCCUUGGCUUCAGUUAAUUUGCUUGAAUGGCUUGCGGAGCUCAGGAGAAUGCUUACUUAAACUUGCUUGUUUCUUAUCAAGGAUAUAACCAAGCACACAGAUGAAAAGGUGUCCUUGGAAGAAGUUGAUUCCAAAUCUCAUGGAUGACUUUGAGGGAUUCAAAACUUCAGUGGAGGAAGUCAUUGCAAAUGUCAUAGAAAUAGCAAGAGAACAAAAAUAAAAGUGAAGCCCGAAGAUGACUGAAUUGCUGCAAUCUCAGGAUAAACUUAGAACGGAUGAGGAGUUACUCUUAUGGAUAAGCAGGGGAGAGGGAUGGAAAAGAAACAGGACAUUGAGGAUUUCUAGCCCACAGCAGUCCUUGUUAUGGCAGAUGUGGAAUCCCAAUCCACAGGAGGCAGGAGGCUGAGAGGUGAGACAAAACCUGUGAAAAUCAGAGAUGAGGGGCAAGUCUCGGCUUCUUGUGACUGAAGUGAUAGAGCCUUGGCAGACACUCACUUGGACUGACAAACGAAAUGAAAAUAUACACCCUUAAAACAAAGAAGACAUCUGAGUAUUCAUCUGAAAGAAUGGAAAUUAGGAUCUGGCAGGAAUAGCGUCACACGUUUAGUCAUUGCAGCAUUAUCACAGUUUCAAAAGCAGGGAGACAGCCUACGGUCCACUGAUCAGUGAGUGUUUACAGAAGAUGUGGUGUACAGAUGCAGUGGGAUCCUGUUCAAAUUCAUAGAUAAUUAUAUCUUGCCAUGUGGAUGACCCUGGAGGACACUGCACUGAGUGAAAUAAGUCAGUUGCAGGAGGAGAAAUGCUCCCCCAUUUGUGUGAGGUCUAACAUAGUCAGCCUAAUAGCAAUGGAGUGGAAUGCUUGCUGCUAGGGGCAGAGGGAGAAGGAAAUGGGGAGUCUGCUCAAGGAUAUGAAGCUUCAGUUAUACAAGAUAAAUAAAGUUUAGAGAUGUGCUGUGCAACAUUUCACUUACAGUUAACAAUGCUGUAUAAUGCACUUAAAAUUUUAUUAAGAGGGUAGAUUUCAUGUUAAGAGAUCUCAUGUUAAGUGUUCUUAU
Molecule: long non-coding RNA, 1184 nt
Filed under: Callithrix jacchus (white-tufted-ear marmoset)
Lineage: Eukaryota; Metazoa; Chordata; Mammalia; Primates; Cebidae
Description: lncRNA (ENSCJAG00000078708.1)
Source: RNAcentral